UGAACCCCAGAGGCUUGGGGAAGCACAAGAGGUGCCUCCUCAGAGGUUCUCAGUGAUUGAGGUGGAGCAAAAGGGAGCAGAUGAUCCUUAAGAAUUUCUGAGCAAACAACAGCAACGAGGAUGCCAGUGUUCUUUAUUUGAACUCCUGAUCCAUCUUCUCUGUAUUUCAGAGAUCUAUAUUACAAAGGUUGGCAUGUGUUUUUUCACAUUCCGCUGCAAUUAGAUUUGAGUCCAGAUGUGAUUGCCUUACGAUGGAACCCUUGCAUCUUCAUUAAUGCGACUCACUGGCAAACCACAAAUCUGCUACAGCAUACCUGUCAAUCCAAUGCAAGUAUAGCUUUUACAUGGCAAUAAGUAGAUUCUAUUUCAGCGUGUACUCCAAAUGCCAGGAGACAACUGAAUGGGUUGUGAGUAAAUGGAGAUGCAUCGCACUACUUCAGGCAAUGCUUUCCUUGAUUUUCUGAACCGUUUGAGAAGCCCUGCAAAAGAUUAUCCUAACAAAAGCUGCUCAGAGGACUAAUGUAACAUAGAAGUAGACAUAACAGAAACAGAUCACUGGUUCCCAGACAAAUGAGGGCAUCUGCAUGGUUGGAGCAUAUCCACUUCAAGAGCCAUUUCUGUAGCAAAUGAUUCCCUGGGUCUCAGCGGAUCUCAUCCUCUACUCUUUAAAGGAAGAGAAAAAAGGUAGAGAAAAUGGGAUGGAUGAUUACUGGUGGCAUGCUUUGCUCAGUGAUAUAUACACAACGCAAAGUACAGCACAGCAAGAGAAAGCUUUACAUUGUUCAUCGGAGGCUGAUUCAUUCUGCAAAAAAUAAUAAUAAACAGUGGUACCUCAGGUUACAUACACUUCAGGUUACAUACGCUUCAGGUUACAGACUCCGCUAACCCAGAAAUAGUGCUUCAGGUUAAGAACUUUGCUUCAGGAUGAGAACAGAAAUCGUGCUCUGGCGGCGCAGUGGCAGCAGGAGGCCCCAUUGGCUAAAGUGGUGCUUCAGGUUAAGAACAGUUUCAGGUUAAGAACGGACCUCCGGAACGAAUUAAGUACUUAAGCUGAGGUACCACUGUAUUGGUCUUUGGUCUAACAAAAAACAUGGGGAGUAUCUAGGUCUAUGUGAGCAGAGCUCCUUUUUUUGCAAAAUGAGCAUCCCAAUCAGCUGUUUGGCAGGGAAGGAGUAGAAGAGCAUAUUGAAUCCAUCCAAGCACCCAUUUCUAAACUGUUAAUCGGCCGAUCCUGGCCCAACUGCACUGGCUUCCAAUUGGUCUCCGGUGCUGGUUUUGACCUCUGAAGGCUUAAACAGCUCAGGAUGGCAAUAUGUCAAGGACCACCUCUCCCCAUAUGAACCUGCCUGGAUCUUGUGAUCAUCAUCUGAGGUCUUUCUUCAUGUGCCUCCUCCACGAGAGUUCUGGAGGGUGGCAACACAUGAAUGGGCAUUUUCUGCAAUGGCUCCCCGUUUGUGGAAUGCUCUGCCCAAGGAGGCUUGCCUGGUUCCCUCAUUAUACACCUUUAGGUACCAGGUGAACAUGUUCCUCUUCAACCAGGCCUUUGGCUGAUUGACAUCUGAUGCCCUUUUAAAUGCGUUGUGGGGGUGGGAUUAUUGUUUUGUAGUUGUUCUUAUUUUUAUUAUGUAUUUUGUGGUUUUUAUAUUGUAAUUUUAUCUUGUGAACUGCCCCGAGAUCUACAGAUGAAGGGUGAUAUACAAAUUUAUUUAUUUAUUUAUUAGAUUGCAUUUCACCUUGAUAAAGGAUUGUAGGCGUGAUGUUUGUGUUGUUAGAUGAGGCUAAGGGUUUGUGCAGCAUUCAAGCACACGCCAGGAUCUCACUUAGAUGCAUUCUAAGUGAAACAGUGCUGAAAAUAACAAUACAUACACAUCAUAUGUUGAUGUGCAGUGUAUAUUUUAUAUACUGUUACAGACCAGGUUCAGGGAACCUGUGUUUACUGGGCUCCAUCAGCCUCAGCCAACAUACCCAGUGGUCAGAGAUGAUGUGAGUUACAAAGCAAUAGAAUCUAUAUGCCACAGGUUAGCUUAGCUACCCCUCUACUGAGAUAGUAAUGGAUAAUUUCUUCUGCUUCUCCUCCUCCUCCUCCUCCUCCAUUUUGUUCUGUUUUUUUCGGUCCAUACUUUUAAGUGAAGUAGCCUGGAUUGGAACAUAAUUAUCCUUCCGAUUUUCUACUUCUCCAAAUUUUGUGAUAUAGUACUCGGUUCAAAAAAAUGAACUUAAGAGUCAGACAUGUACUUGAGGCAACCUAUGCUUGCCAGAAAAGAGACCAUUACAUAUAAGAACCAUUUGCUCUGUGUGGGGGGUUUUUUUUGUGUGUAUGUGUAAUUCUUUUUCUUAGCCUGUUAUAGCUGUGUCUAGUAAAACUUCAGAAUCAUUUGAACUUGUCUGAUCUUUCACUGCUUGGUCCAAAUGGUGGGGGGAACACCAGUGGACUCCAGAAAUGCACAGCUUUAAAUGAGGUGGUAAGCUCAUAAAUCAUAGAAUUGUAGAGUUGGAAUGGACCCCAAGGGUCAUCUAGUCCAACCUCCUACAAUGCAGGAAUCUCAAGAGACCUGCUCCUACAGUCUGUUGACAGGAAGCAUCUAUCAGGAGGGAAGCAAUUUUUGUUCAUUACCCCUCCCACCCUAAAAAAUCUGCCCUGGGCAGUAAGACCCCCCUGGGACUGAUUUAAGGAAAGUUUAGGAGCUUCAUGAGCAGGGAGAAUUGCCAGAAAUGUAUCCCUCCCAUUUCUGCUUGCUAAUGGAUGCCUUCAGUCAAUUGAAGGACACCAAUCGGAUACCACCCAUUAUACUUAGGACCCCUUUAAAAAGAAAGGGGUUUACAUUAAUUACUUUCCUCACCAUAUAUGUAGACAUGGGUAUUACAAAUGUUCUGAAGGCAUAGUCACAAAAAGCAUCUCCUCUCAUGAAUUGUCCUAAUUCUACAUUGUCUUGCUUUUUUCUCAUAGGAGCACCUAAGAAACAAGGAAGCCAGUGCUAAUAGAUAUCUCCAUAUCGCCCCUAAGCCAGAUAGCUUCAGACUCCACAUAGAUCAGCUGCCUUAUCUCAGUUAAAACAAUAUACAGCCAGUUACAUACUUACACUGAGAGGCUGAGUUCUCUUCUCCUUUGCUAAAAUGAUAUCAAAGCCCCCUUGUACUUUGUGGCCACCUGAAGCUGGUGAAGAUCCUACUGGCUUCCCCAAGACAUAUAGGUCCCAAGUGAAUCAGCCUGCAAGAUCCACUGCUGGGCAGUAUUUAAGUCUUUUAAAUUAAGAAGAGUGGCAGAUGAAACUGAUGUACUAUGCCGAGUUGGCAAAAUUAACUGGGAAAAUUCGGAACCAGCAAGACCAGACUUUCCUGAAAGACUGGAAGAAAUUUCUGAUAUAUUUGAAAGACAAUUGUAAUCAAUUGACAUCACUUGUAGGGUUGCAAGAAGUUUCAUAAGGAGAACCAUAUGAAUUAUUGCGAAAGACGACUAAGAAGGAGUUUAUUUAGGAUAUGGAUUUUAUAGCAAUAACUAUUAAAAUAAAAUGCAAAAUCAGAAAGAAAGUUAGAAAACCAUUAGUCGAGGUUGACGGAAAUCUCUGGCUGUGAUAGCCGAAGGUUUGUUAUGUUGUAUAGGAUGGGAUGUUAUGUUUGGAAAAUAUGUGCAAAAACAAAAAAAAAUUAAAAAAAUCUUUUAAAUUAACAAAAUAAGAUACUUUUACAUCCUUCUGUUUUCAGUGGAAGAGAAGCUGAAUGUAUGAGCAUUUCUUUCACUAAAGUCUUGCAGAAUAGAUGUCUAUGUGGUUUUGCCUUCAAUCUCUUCUUUGAAAUGUGAAUUCCUGUUUCAGAAAGCCUGUAGCUUUUCAGUAUAUCAUUGGGGACAAGAGUUCAGCAUUCUUUUUAAAGAGUUUAGUUUCUACAACUGUUCAUGACCGGAUAGCCUACAGCUAUAAAUAUUUAGUUGUGGAAAGUAGGCUUCCCAUUUUGGUAUUGUGUAUUUGAUGCACAGCUGAGAGGUACUGGAACCGCAUAGGAAUAAUUAAAUGUUACAGUUUUAGUUAAUGCACUCAAGUCAAUAUAUCCUGAAGGACAAAAGGCUGGAAUAACACUUCCCUGUAGCAGUAAAUGUUGAAAGGUGCAUACAUUCCUGUCAUUAUGGUGGUGAUUAGAGUUGCAAUGUACAAAAUGUUUCAAAAGGCAAUUUUUAUCACAUCAUUAUUAAU
Podarcis raffonei (Aeolian wall lizard) is the source of this 4187-nucleotide long non-coding RNA. RefSeq lists it as uncharacterized. Lineage: Eukaryota; Metazoa; Chordata; Lepidosauria; Squamata; Lacertidae. The transcript is spliced from 4 exons. The record is from RefSeq and is a predicted model, not a curated record.